This 464-nucleotide ribosomal RNA is filed under the name uncultured Klebsiella sp. Its description in RNAcentral is "bacterial SSU rRNA". It matches the Rfam family "Bacterial small subunit ribosomal RNA", at positions 338 to 795 of the family's 1533-position model. The record is from RNAcentral. Lineage: Bacteria; Pseudomonadati; Pseudomonadota; Gammaproteobacteria; Enterobacterales; Enterobacteriaceae.
CCUACGGGAGGCUGCAGUGGGGAAUAUUGCACAAUGGGCGCAAGCCUGAUGCAGCCAUGCCGCGUGUGUGAAGAAGGCCUUCGGGUUGUAAAGCACUUUCAGCGGGGAGGAAGGCGGUGAGGUUAAUAACCUCAUCGAUUGACGUUACCCGCAGAAGAAGCACCGGCUAACUCCGUGCCAGCAGCCGCGGUAAUACGGAGGGUGUAAGCGUUAAGCGGAAUUACUGGGCGUAAAGCGCACGCAGGCGGUCUGUCAAGUCGGAUGUGAAAUCCCCGGGCUCAACCUGGGAACUGCAUUCGAAACUGGCAGGCUAGAGUCUUGUAGAGGGGGGUAGAAUUCCAGGUGUAGCGGUGAAAUGCGUAGAGAUCUGGAGGAAUACCGGGGGCGAAGGCGGCCCCCGGGACAAAGACUGACGCUCAGGUGCGAAAGCGGGGGAGCAAACAGGAUUAGAUACCCUGGUAGUC